ACUCCUACGGGAGGCAGCAGUGGGGAAUAUUGCACAAUGGGGAAACCCUGAUGCAGCCAUGCCGCGUGUGUGAAGAAGGCCUCGGUUGUAAAGCACUUUCAGUAGGGAGGAAGGUAGUGUAGUUAACACCUGCAUUAUUUGACGUUACCUACAGAAGAAGCACCGGCUAACUCCGUGCCAGCAGCCGCGGUAAUACGGAGGGGUGCGAGCGUUAAUCGGAAUUACUGGGCGUAAAGCGCAUGCAGGCGGCCUGUUAAGUCAGAUGUGAAAGCCCGGGGGCUUAACCUCGGAAUUGCAUUUGAAACUGGCAGGCUAGAGUCUUGUAGAGGGGGUAGAAUUUCAGGUGUAGCGGUGAAAUGCGUAGAGAUCUGAAGGAAUACCAGU
Molecule: ribosomal RNA, 384 nt
Filed under: uncultured bacterium
Lineage: Bacteria
Description: bacterial SSU rRNA
Rfam family: Bacterial small subunit ribosomal RNA
Source: RNAcentral